CUAUUCUAAAGGCUCUUCAGGGAUUUUUAAUAUGCAGCUAGGAUUGAAAAUCACUUAUGUAGACAUACAGUUUUUAUGUUUUAACAAACACAUUUAAGGCAAACAAACUACUGGGAUGAUCUUUGGAUGCAUCACAGAACUUUUUCAGAAGCAUUUGGUAGUCCCAGUGAUUUCUCCUUCUAAAGAGUGCUAGUGAAUGAGGGAUUCUGAUUGAGGACUUACUUUGCUGCCUUAGGGUUCUCUCCUAACCAAAAGGCUUUCUGUUUUGGAAUCAUGGAGCACAUCUUUUGUGGGCUGCGAAAAGCUCUAGGUGGAAGGGAAGAGCAUCAGGUGGUGAAGCUGAGCCAGGAGAGUCUAAAAUCCAUGUGGCCUCUCAGGCACCCUGGAGUCUAGAGGGAGUUCCCUGAUCUCACAUUGGAGAGUAAUUCUAGGGGUUAAGGAUUUGUAGGAAAUCUCUGGCCAAACCCUGCCCCGGUCCCUUGUAUGGAUCUAUUGCAAGGUGAAAAAUAGAUAUUGGAUGAGUAAUCAAGCAACAGCUCUGGUGUGAUGAGUUACGGCACUGAAGCAUGGGAAUAAGAUCAGGACACAGUGAUACUCUGAUACAGGCAAGGAAAAAAAAAAAAGCAGCAACUGCUGAUAUUGGUGAUUAUGCAGAAGAUGCUGGGCAAUAUUUACUGAGCACUUACGAGGAAGCCUGCCUGGUUCCAUAUGCUUCACUUGCAUUAACUUCCCUCAGUUCUCCCAAGAAUCCCACGAGAUCUCUGUUGUCUCUAUAUUAACGAAGCUAAAACAUUCUAGUUGAAUGUUCUAAAUGUUUGUCAGCACAGCAAGCUUCUACCUUCUCCUGUUUAAAGAAAAUUUGAAAAAUACCUGGAUCCUUCCUUCCCAUCAGCCCCCACUUCAUCCAUCCUCUUAUGAACUGAGGGAAUCUUUUAUCAUAGGUAAGUAUAGGGUAAACCUGAGGAAAACCUUGAAGAAAGAUUAUGUAAGUUGAAAAUCACCUAAACCUGCAGUUUUAGUCCUCCUUUUUGCAGAAGAAAUGAAAAUAUCUGCAGGAGGGAGAACGGCAGCAGAGAGAGACUAUAGGAAAGGAAAAACAAAUGGCCGAUAAAUGUGGUCUUGAAAUGAACAAGUGCACAACAAUCAAGAUGAUCCUUUUUAUGAUGCCUGGUGAUGUCACCCUAACUAUCAUUCUCCUUAUUACAGUGACUUUCCACUUUCAUUUUGGGACGAUGCAAUUUUAUAUAAUACCAAUGAAAGAGCUACCCUAAGAACAAUAAUAUGUAAACAUCAUGUCUAAAUUCAGACUAUUGCCAUAUACUGCAAGGAAAGCAGAAGGGUGAAGAAAAUGCAUACUGUAAGCUAGCAGUAUUAAUUCAAACUCUUCAUCUUUAAAAAUAUUUUGUUUUAAAUUAUCUUAUAAACUACAUAUAUGGGGACAGGUGCAGUGGCUCAUGCCUGUAAUCCCAGCACUUUGGGAGGCUGAGAUGGUUGGAUCACUUGAGCCCAGGAGUUCGAGACUAGCCUGAGCAACAUGGUGAAAACCCAUCUCUACAAAAAAUACAAAAAGUUAACUGGGCAUGGUGGUGUACGACUGACUGUAGCCUCAGCUGCCCAGGAGGCUGAGGUGGGAUAUCAGAGCCCAGUCGGUUGAGGCUGCAGUGAGCCGUGAUUGUGCCACUGUACUCCAGGCUGGGUAACAGAGUGACAGUCUGUCUCAAAAAAACAAAAACAAAACCCAACUACAUAUAUGAUCUCAUUGAUAAUAAUAGCAACUACUCAUACUUCCUUUUUAUUGUCAUCAUAUUUUAGAACACUUACUUUUACGUAGUUCUCCUCAAGCACCAGAUUCAAUGUCCUGCCUUAC
Molecule: long non-coding RNA, 1867 nt
Organism: Macaca nemestrina (pig-tailed macaque)
Lineage: Eukaryota; Metazoa; Chordata; Mammalia; Primates; Cercopithecidae
Source: Ensembl